RNAcentral lists this transfer RNA (72 nucleotides) under Pantoea phage vB_PagS_AAS21. It matches the Rfam family "tRNA". From Rfam's summary of the family: Transfer RNA (tRNA) molecules are approximately 80 nucleotides in length. Their secondary structure includes four short double-helical elements and three loops (D, anti-codon, and T loops). The record is from Rfam by way of RNAcentral. Lineage: Duplodnaviria; Heunggongvirae; Uroviricota; Caudoviricetes; Demerecviridae.
AGGGGAUUAGUUUAGUUGGUAAAACCCCGGGCUUUGAUCUCGGUAUCGUAGGUUCAAGUCCUGCAUCCCCCG